Molecule: ribosomal RNA, 498 nt
Filed under: uncultured bacterium
Lineage: Bacteria
Description: bacterial SSU rRNA
Rfam family: Bacterial small subunit ribosomal RNA
Source: RNAcentral
AACGAGCGCUGGCGGCGCGCCUAAUACAUGCAAGUCGAGCGAGAAGACGUAGCAAUACGUUUGUAAAGCGGCGAACGGGUGAGGAAUACAUGGGUAACCUACCCUCGAGUGGGGAAUAACUAGCCGAAAGGUUAGCUAAUACCGCGUACGCUCCUUGGACUUCGGUUCAGGGAGGAAAGCGAUACCGUGGGUAUCGCGCUCUUGGAUGGGCUCAUGUCCUAUCAGCUUGUUGGGAGGUAACGGCUCACCAAGGCUUCGACGGGUAGCUGGUCUGAGAGGACGAUCAGCCACACUGGCACUGCGACACGGGCCAGACUCCUACGGGAGGCAGCAGUAAGGAAUAUUGCGCAAUGGGCGAAAGCCUGACGCAGCGACGCCGCGUGGGGGAUGAAGGUCUUCGGAUUGUAAACCCCUUCCAGGAGGGAAGAUGGAACGAGCAAUCGUUCGGACGGUACCUCCAGAAGCAGCCACGGCUAACUUCGUGCCAGCAGCCGCCGC